Scleropages formosus (Asian bonytongue) is the source of this 1638-nucleotide long non-coding RNA. The record is from Ensembl. NCBI's taxonomy places the organism in Eukaryota, Metazoa, Chordata, Actinopteri, Osteoglossiformes, Osteoglossidae.
GUAAAAACUAAAUGUAUAAAUGGGUAAAUCACUGUAAAAGCUCACCAUCGUGAGUCUUUAAUGUAAACAUUGAUAAUUCAAGCCAUAAUGACUGACUUUAUGAGAUGUUGUGCUGUUUUAACAAUUCAGAUUUCCAGCCUUCUAGCAGUAGCAACUUUGGCUUUGUUGGAGCAGGAGGUUUGACUUUCCUUGUGUUGUGUUGUAGAGGAAAAAGUACCUGGUAAAAAUUCCAUGGCAAAACAUUUCAUUUUAUAUGCGCAUGGGAAACAAGUCACAUCCGUGAGUCAUUGUGGCAGAACACUUUUUAUUAGGCGUAGCAGUGAGGCCCCAUGUUUGAAUGAACUUAAGAGUUGUGUUGCGGGAGGACCCCUCCCCCAUCACACCCCGCCAGUCUCAGCCCUGCCUGUCCCCGCCCCCUCCCUCGCUCUCCCACGCAGCUUCAUCUCCGGCAAGCCUGGGCUGCAUGCUGAGCACUUCCACUCAUCUCCCACAGCCCAAGCCUGGAGACACCAUGCGGACGCAGUCCCAACGCCUGCUCUGCGUCUGCCUGUCCUGGAGCCUGUUGCUGCUGCAGGUGCUGCGCACUGCCACCCAGGACUUGGAUGAUGAUGAUACGGUAUAUGAGUAUGGGGGAACUCCACUGCCAGACUUCGAGUCCAACACCACCAUUGAGUUCACCUUCUUCAGCAACGUCAGCAACUUCUACGAUGAAUUCCACAAAAUCUUGUACGGGACUGAAGAUGUAACACAGAGAACAGAAGAAGUGGAAGAGGAAGGACAGGAUGCUGGCUGGGGACCAGAAAGUGGGGCCUCAGGGACGUUCCCUCCCAGCAUUCUCCUGGGUCUCAGCCUGAUGGCGCUCUGGCUUGGCCAACACCUGUGAGCAGGUCCCAUAGAACAGCACGGCGGAGAUGUGUGUCACUAUGACGGCGGCAACAAGCUUGGCCUGUUGGGGGCUCCGAGGUGAAUGGGUCACAGGGACACCAGGACGCCCUCUGGAGUAAACAGGAUCACACAUGCAUCUCACGGACGGGGCCAGCCAGUUGGCCCAUGUCACACCGCCCUGCCCCGACACCCCUCACACCCCUUGCCCUCCCCGUCCUAUUACGCUCCUCGUUGGGUCUGCUACCGUUCAGCUUCUCGGGAUGCUUCACCUAUCCGCGAUGACCAUCCCAAGAGAAAGACGAGCAAAGAAACAGAAACAAUUAUCUAUUUUUGCCCUUGUCGCCCCAGAAAUGCUCUCAUUUUCUUCACGUGAGCCAGGUUAUUACCAGCCGUCACUCUCUUCUUCGAUGAUCAUCAGUGUGGCUCCACACAUGUGACUUUGGACCCCUCGACUUGCUCCCGAACUCUGAAAUCCAUCCCCAGUCAUCAUGACGAAAAAACCCUGCACCACUGCUGUCUCCUGGACUCAGGACUCACCCUUGUCUCCCUUCAGGAGUCCACAGCAACAAUGCUGUAUUUAUUAUCUUUCAUAAACACUUUUAUAAACACUUAAACAUCAAUAAUCUCACCAAAAACAGCAAUGACACAGAGCCUCUCACUGCUACCGCAUGUAAAUGUCACUACACUUAUAAAAAAAUUUGCUUUUCUGAAGAAGAUGUACUCAGACAACUUUAUAUGCUGUAUAGUCUUUAA